CCAGUGUUGCUGCCAGUUAUAGAGGAGAAUCGCUCGUAUCUCCCGUUUGUAAUUGUCCGUGAAUUGACCGUUCAAUAGUAAUGGUUUGUGCAGAAAUGGAUGCACUUCUGGCGGUCGGGAUAUGAAGUAAUGUGCUGCCAAUUGCUGAAUACGAUAUUUGAGAGGCAUAGUACCCGCUAAUACUUGCACUGCUUCAUGUGAUAUCGUCCGCCUGUUUAUGCCAUACUGCUGACCCAUAAGUUAUGGCGGGCUCAAUAGCAGCGUUCCAGUAGAGGCGCAGGGUUUUUUGUGGAGGCCCAAAGUUAUUGCCUGAUAUUCGUGAGAAGCCGAAGAUUGCCUUCUUGGCUUUGUUGGUGACAUGCGUAAUAUGCUCGUAAAAAUGAAGAUAUCGGUCGAUUAUGAUUCCAAGAUAUUUUAUGCUAUCGGAAUAUUGUAAUGGAUGAUUAUUGAAGCGAAUGACGGGUCGGACUGCCAGUUCCGAACCACGGCCAAUCAUCAUUGUCUGCGUUUUUGAUGCAUUAAAAGCAACCUCAGGGCUAGCACCACAAGCGAUAACGAGUGUAUCAUCCGCAUAUGCUUGUAAGAAGACGUG
Tetranychus urticae (two-spotted spider mite) is the source of this 592-nucleotide non-coding RNA. The record is from RefSeq and is a predicted model, not a curated record. NCBI's taxonomy places the organism in Eukaryota, Metazoa, Arthropoda, Arachnida, Trombidiformes, Tetranychidae.